Molecule: long non-coding RNA, 1368 nt
Organism: Tupaia belangeri chinensis (Chinese tree shrew)
Lineage: Eukaryota; Metazoa; Chordata; Mammalia; Scandentia; Tupaiidae
Exons: 4
Source: RefSeq, a predicted model, not a curated record
GUUCCCGGCAUGCCCCGGGGCGGCGGGGUUGGCUCUAACGAAUUUGAAUGAGGAGCCUUAGCGCUUUCGGCGCCAUUUUCGAGUGAUGCCUGAUCUCAUCCGUCUAGCGGGAGAGACGGAUAACCUGUCCGAGAGUUUAACGCCAAAAGGACCCCGCCGAAAAAUCACUAAAAAAUCGCCAAAAAUUAGUUGGAGCAAAGGGCAGUCCGUGGAGCUUCGCCAGGGUUGGCGCAGUCGUCUUUGAAACUUGCCGCAAAUGGGGAAAAACCUGAAAUGUAUUGAUGUUUUCCUCCCGAAAACUCUUUUGCCGGACAACUUAACGGUAAUUUUGCAAUCUCCACCUUUUCUUGGGAACUCUUGACGCUGAGGCGGAGGGAAGAGGUUUUGACCUUUAGGAGAGAGCUAGUCCCGGAGAACAACCUAACUUCUUUGAUUCAAUACUCACAUAAUGUGCUGGAACAUGAUAAGAGAUUAAGAUUUGGAGAGUCCAUCCCAAAAUUCAUGUAGAUUCUUUAGGGACAUCAAAUAAUCAAUCUUGAAAAAAAUGAAAAUUGGAGGUCUUAUGCUACCUGAUUUCAAAACUUUCUACAAAGCCAUGGUAAUCAAAACAGAAUGGUACUAGCAUAAAAGAGACAUUGAAAUAGACUUGAAGGCCUAGAAAUAAACCCUUACAUAUAUGCCAAAAGCUUUUCAGCAAAGAUGUCAAAGGUCCACAUUCAAUGGAGAAAGCAGUCUUUUCAACAAAUGGCAUAUGAGAAUACUGGAUUUCCACACAGAGAAGGAUGAAGUUGGAUCAUUAUCUGAAAUGAUAUACAGAAAUUAAAAUGGAACAAAGACCUAAACGUAGGCAUAAAGCUAUGAAACUUAGAAGAAAACAUAGGGAAAAAGCUUCAAGACAUUGGAUCUGGCAACAGUUUCUUCAGUAUGACACCAAAUCACAGGCAACAACAACAAUAUAGAAAAAUUGAACUGUAUCAAAAUUUGAAGCAUUUGCACAUUUAAAAGACACUACCAUAAAAGUGAAAAUGCAGUCCACUGAAUGAGAAAAAUAUCUGCAAAUCAUGUACCUAAUAAGGGGCUAGUAGUCAGAAUAUAUGAAAAGCUCAACAUAGAAACAACCCAUCCAAAAAUAGACAAAGGGUGCCAGCUGGUGCUGUAGUGGUUAAGAUGGCUGGAUCCCAAAUGGCUGACUGCAUGACUAGAAUCCCAAACCUACCAGCUUGGAAAACACUGGACAUGGGGCAUGGCAGGUGGCAUUCUGACUAAGGCACUGGAUUCUCCCACAUGGCCAACCAUGAUUGAUCCCAGACCUGGUGAUUUGCUUUCUUGCUCUCCCUCUCUCUGUUUGUCUAUCUCUCUCUAGUUAAU